UGGCUCAGUUGGUAGAGCAUGGUGUGUGCAACGCCAGGGUCGUGGGUUCAAUUCCCAC
RNAcentral lists this transfer RNA (58 nucleotides) under Salmo salar (Atlantic salmon). It matches the Rfam family "tRNA", at positions 8 to 63 of the family's 71-position model. Rfam says of the family: Transfer RNA (tRNA) molecules are approximately 80 nucleotides in length. Their secondary structure includes four short double-helical elements and three loops (D, anti-codon, and T loops). Further hydrogen bonds mediate the characteristic L-shaped molecular structure. tRNAs have two regions of fundamental functional importance: the anti-codon, which is responsible for specific mRNA codon recognition, and the 3' end, to which the tRNAs corresponding amino acid is attached (by aminoacyl-tRNA synthetases). tRNAs cope with the degeneracy of the genetic code in two manners: having more than one tRNA (with a specific anti-codon) for a particular amino acid; and 'wobble' base-pairing, i.e. permitting non-standard base-pairing at the 3rd anti-codon position. Lineage: Eukaryota; Metazoa; Chordata; Actinopteri; Salmoniformes; Salmonidae. RNAcentral also lists the same sequence under 1 other name. The record is from Rfam by way of RNAcentral.